This 902-nucleotide long non-coding RNA is filed under the name Mytilus galloprovincialis (Mediterranean mussel). Lineage: Eukaryota; Metazoa; Mollusca; Bivalvia; Mytilida; Mytilidae. The record is from RNAcentral.
CUUUGUUACUAUAUUAUCUUUAAGGAUAAUGUAAGAUAUUUUACUUAGUAUUGAUGUGUUCAGCUUUUUUUUAGUUUGAAUAUUGAUGUGUUCAGCUUUUUUAGCUCACCUGGCCCGAAGGGCCAAGUGAGCUUUUCUCAUCACUUGGCGUCCGGCGUCCGUCGUCGUCCGGCGUCGUCCGGCGUCCGUCGUCGUUAACUUUUACAAAAAUCUUCUCCUCUGAAACUACUGGGCCAAAUUUAACCAAACUUGGCCACAAUCAUCAUUGGGGUAUCUAGUUUAAAAAAUGUGUUCGGUUACCCGGCCAACCAACCAAGAUGGCCGCCAUGGCUAAAAAUAGAACAUAGGGGUCAAAUGCAGUUUUUGGCUUAUAACUCUGAAACCGAAGCAUUUAGAGCAAAUCUGACAUGGGGUUAAAUUGUUUAUUAAGUCAAGAUCUAUCUGCCCUAAAAUUUUCAGACGAAUCGGACAACCGGUUGUUGGGUUGCUGCCCCUGAAUUGGCAAUUUUAAGGAAAUUUUGCCGUUAUAUGGUUAUUAUCUUGAAUAUUAUUAUAGAUAGAGAUAAACUGUAAACAGCAAUAAUGUUCAGCAAAGUAAGAUCUACAAAUAAGUCAACAUGACCGAAAUGGUCAGUUGACCCAUAUAGGAGUUAUUGCCCUUUAUAGUCAAUUUUUAACCAUUUUUCGUAAAUCUUAGUAAUCUUUUACAAAAAUUUUCUCCUCUGAAACCACUGGGCCAAAUUUAUCCAAAUUUUGGCCACAAUUAUCUUUGGGGUAUCUAGUUUAAAAAAUGUGUCCAGGGACCCGGCCAACCAACCAAGAUGGCCACCAUGGCUAAAAAUAGAACAUAGGGGGUAAAAUGCAGUUUUUGGCUUAUAACUUAAAAACCAAAGCAUUAAGAG